GGGGAUGACAGGCAUAGACAAUCGCCGGUUUUCGUUCGUGCGGCGGAAGCAGUAUCGACUUCCAAAUCCGAUGCAAACCCAUAAAUGCCAAAACCGUUUCUCCGUAUUUCGGAGUGAAUGAUUUCGCAUUCGUCCGCGUUUGACGCGGGCCGUCACCUUGUCGGGAUCCAUACGAUAAGGCAGGCGCAAUCACCGGGAUGUAGGAUCUUGAAGCUUCUCACUUCAUUGUCCGAAACUUAGAGAUCGCGUCCGCGCGUUUUGUUUCCUUUCCCGAACGCGGCCGCCAAAGUGCCGCAAGGCACCGAAAGGAUUCCAUCGCCGUAGAAUCGCUCGAUAGACCUCGAUUGCACCCGGGUUCGAAUCCCGGCAUCUCCACCA
This 378-nucleotide transfer-messenger RNA is filed under the name Patescibacteria group bacterium. It matches the Rfam family "transfer-messenger RNA". Rfam says of the family: Bacterial tmRNA, also known as 10Sa RNA or SsrA, is named for its dual tRNA and mRNA-like properties. Its role is to liberate the mRNA from a stalled ribosome. To accomplish this part of the tmRNA is used as a reading frame that ends in a translation stop signal. The record is from RNAcentral. RNAcentral also lists the same sequence under 1 other name.